CGCGUGGCCUGUGCCGUGGGAGCCGGCGGGAGCUAGGGAGGGGGAUGGCCGUCUCUGGUUCUUCUCGCCAUCCCCAACCUCAGCUCUGUGUUGCGCCUUUUUUCUCCUGCGCCUCCCCUUGAUCUUCUGCACUUUUAGGGAGAAAGGAACUAUAUCAUCCUGAGAUACACAGAAGUCAUUUGGAUGAAUGUUCAUAGGCUGCAGAGUGGUGAGGUUCUGAAGUGUUCCAGGCAUGUGGCAUCAAACCCCUCUAAAAAGGUCUGCUCCUGGGCUUGCGGUGGAGUACUUUCUCAGUGUGCAUGAGGAUCUGGGUUCUAUCUCUACUGUAUAUACACAGAGCAGAAUAUCACCGGCCAUCUUGUUCUGCCAUGGCUUCUCCGUAUCUUUGCUUUAAGGUUGAGGGCGUUAGAAGAAAGCAUUUGAUCCCCUGGACCUGGAGUCAUGGAUGACUAAAUCACCAUGUGGAUGCUGGGAAUUGAACCUGGGUCCUCCUCAAGAGCAGCAGGUACUCUUCACCACUGAGCCAUUUCUCAAGCCCUGAGACAAGGUUUUAUCAUAUAUGCAACCCAAGUUGACCUGAACUAACUUCAUUCCUCAGCCUUCCUGGUUCUUGCAUUACAAUACUGAGGGGGCCCUGCAGGUGGUCAAGGCAGACAGUAAGUCAACCAACCGGAAAGCAGUGAGAAUGAAGACUUGGUUCAGAUUGAUUUUUGCUAACCUAGACUUCAAGGACUCUGAUGCCUGGCGGUUCAUUCUGAAUAGACUGAAACACAGUGUAACUUGGAAAUAAGAUUCCGGUGUAAUACAAACCCAUUGCACAAGUGUCUUAGAGUUUCCGUUGGUGUGAAGAGACAUCGUGACCAUGAUGACUCUUAUAAAACACUUAA
Rattus norvegicus (Norway rat) is the source of this 887-nucleotide long non-coding RNA. RefSeq lists it as uncharacterized. Lineage: Eukaryota; Metazoa; Chordata; Mammalia; Rodentia; Muridae. The record is from RefSeq and is a predicted model, not a curated record.